AGGGGCUUGCGCCACAUUAGUUAGUUGGUAGAGUAAAAGCCUACCAAGACGAUGAUGUGUAGCUGGACUGAGAGGUUGAACAGCCACAUUGGGACUGAGACACGGCCCAAACUCCUACGGGAGGCAGCAGUAGGGAAUUUUCGGCAAUGGAGGAAACUCUGACCGAGCAACGCCGCGUGAACGAUGAAGUAUUUCGGUAUGUAAAGUUCUUUUAUUGAAGAAGAAAAAAUAGUGGAAAAACUAUAUUGACGUUAUUCAAUGAAUAAGCCCCGGCUAACUAUGUGCCAGCAGCCGCGGUAAGACAUAGGGGGCGAGCGUUAUCCGGAAUUAUUGGGCGUAAAGGGUGCGUAGGCUGUUAGAUAAGUCUAUAAUUUAAUUUCAGUGCUUAACGCUGUCUUGUUAUAGAAACUGUCUUGACUAGAGUGAGAUAGAGGCAAGCGGAAUUCCAUGUGUAGCGGUAAAAUGUGUAAAUAUAUGGAGGAACACCAGAAGCGUAGGCGGCUUGCUGGGUCUUUACUGACGCUGAGGCACGAAAGCGUGGGUAGCAAACAGGAUUAGAUACCCUGGUAGUCCACGCCGUAAACGAUGAGUACUAAGUGUCGGGGUAAAACUCGGUACUGAAGUUAACACAUUAAGUACUCCGCCUGAGUAGUACGUACGCAAGUAUGAAACUUAAAGGAAUUGACGGGACUCCGCACAAGCGGUGGAUCAUGUUGUUUAAUUCGAAGAUACACGAAAAAUCUUACCAGGUCUUGACAUACUCUGCAAAGCUAUAGAAAUAUAGUGGAGGUUAUCAGGGAUACAGGUGGUGCAUGGUUGUCGUCAGUUCGUGUCGUGAGAUGUUAGGUUAAGUCCUAAAACGAGCGCAACCCUUGUCGUUAAUUGCCAGCACGUAAUGGUGGGGACUUUAACGAGACUGCCAAUUAAACAUUGGAGGAAGGCGAGGAUUACGUCAAAUCAUCAUGCCCCUUAUGAUCUGGGCUACAAACGUGAUACAAUGGCUGUGACAAAGAGUAGCUGAAACGCGAGUUUUUAGCCAAUCUCAAAAAAGCAGUCUCAGUUCGGAUUGA
Molecule: ribosomal RNA, 1070 nt
Filed under: Candidatus Phytoplasma trifolii
Lineage: Bacteria; Bacillati; Mycoplasmatota; Mollicutes; Acholeplasmatales; Acholeplasmataceae
Description: bacterial SSU rRNA
Rfam family: Bacterial small subunit ribosomal RNA
Source: RNAcentral